Molecule: long non-coding RNA, 283 nt
Organism: Alosa sapidissima (American shad)
Lineage: Eukaryota; Metazoa; Chordata; Actinopteri; Clupeiformes; Clupeidae
Exons: 3
Source: RefSeq, a predicted model, not a curated record
CUCUGGUGCCGAAAACAGAAAGAAGAAAAUGACAGAGGAGAAAAACGAGCAAGAUACAGAGACACUGUUGAAGUACUUUGGAGCACAUCUCUACCACUACUUAACUCUACCUCAUCAAGUGUCUGCCUCCAUGGCUGAUGACACAGAAGGUUUGUCCACUGCAGAGCUGCAGAUACCUGAAAGCCAGGAACGAAGUAGGAAUAAGUAUCUAUUCUUUGGGACAUUUUAUUUUUGUCAUUAUUAUUAAUGUUUGUCUAUUUUGGUUUUAUUUUGUAGUUGAAGA